AAAGAAAAUAACAAUGAUUCCCCUAGUAACGGCGAGCGAAGAGGGAAUAGCUCAAAUUUUAAAUCUGUUGGGUCUUACCUAACCGAGUUGUAAUUUGAAGAAACGUUUUCUGCGUGUUUGAUUUAGCCCAAAUCCUUUGGGAUAAGGUAUCAUGGAGGGUGAGAAUCCCGUCCGGCCUAAUCAAAUGUGCUUUACGAUACGUUUUCUAAGAGUCGAGUUGUUUGGGAUUGCAGCUCAAAAUGGGAGGUAAAUUUCUCCUAAGGCUAAAUAUAGGCGAGAGACCGAUAGCGAACAAGUACCGUGAGGGAAAGAUGAAAAGAACUUUGAAAAGAGAGUUAAACAGUACGUGAAAUUGUUGAAAGGGAAACGAUUAAAGUCAGUCGUACUAACGGGGAAUCAACCUUUUGAGGGUGGAAUUGUGGGAUUCAGAGUGCCUUUGUCUUUCACAACCUGCUUUUUUUGGGUGCACUUCCCCGUAUUGUAGGUCAGCAUCGGUUUCGACCGUUAUAAAAUGACUGGAGGAAUGUAGCUUCGAUCUCGUAUUGAAGUGUUAUAGCCUUUGGUAGAUGUAACGGAUGGGAUCGAGGAUUGCAAUGAAUACCCUCAUGGGCUAUCCGCCUGGCCUCUGACAUGUCACUCUGGUGCCGAAAGCUUGCUUAUGGUAUUAUAGUGUACGGUCAAAAGGUUAGAACGGAUUAAAUU
This 702-nucleotide ribosomal RNA is filed under the name uncultured Glomeromycotina. Its description in RNAcentral is "eukaryotic LSU rRNA". It matches the Rfam family "Eukaryotic large subunit ribosomal RNA", at positions 58 to 640 of the family's 3401-position model. Lineage: Eukaryota; Fungi; Glomeromycota. The record is from RNAcentral.